AAUUAAACUUCACUGACGUUCUAUUGCUCGACUUCUACGUAGUAGACACGAAUACAUGAUAGCAUUUAAAAGUUCUUAAGCAAUAUCAAACACAGACCGGAAAAUAAUUAUCUUGGGAUCAAAGCAAUUUUCCAACUUGGUAUUUAGUAACAGAAACUUUGAGAUAGUUGUAGAAGACAUUAUCUUAAACAUACUUUCACUUG
RNAcentral lists this small RNA (203 nucleotides) under Arabidopsis thaliana (thale cress). Its description in RNAcentral is "ATSL276190". Lineage: Eukaryota; Viridiplantae; Streptophyta; Magnoliopsida; Brassicales; Brassicaceae. The record is from RNAcentral.